RNAcentral lists this unclassified non-coding RNA (418 nucleotides) under Hevea brasiliensis (rubber tree). The record is from RNAcentral. Lineage: Eukaryota; Viridiplantae; Streptophyta; Magnoliopsida; Malpighiales; Euphorbiaceae.
UUCUUCUUCAUCUUCAUCUUCUACUUCGAGUACAGUUUCUUCAGAUUUCGGAUCUUUGGUAGAACCGGGUUUUACCCGAUUAAACGAUCCGAAUUUGGGGGUAACUUCAGGAGUUGAACAACCGGAGAAUUUCGAGUCGAACGAGAAGGAAAAUCCAAAAUUAGAACCUGAAUUGACGGAAUCGAAUUUAUCUAAAGCACUUGGACAGUUUUUUCUUCUCUUCGCCUGACGUAUGAUAUCUGGAUCUUCUAUCUCCGGCUUCUCUUCCCAACUUUCUGCGGUAGUCGGAGGUGACGGAUCAUCGCCGGAAUUCGAAUUUGACGGCGCCGGAUCUGAGCAGUUUUCCGCCGGAGCUUGAUCGGAUUUUGCCUUCUCCAUUUUGGCAGUUAGGGAUUAGAGAGAGUUGAGCUCGGGUUUG